UAAUUGAAGAGUUUGAUCAUGGCUCAGAUUGAACGCUGGCGGCAGGCCUAACACAUGCAAGUCGAGCGGCAGCACAGAGGAACUUGUUCCUUGGGUGGCGAGCGGCGGACGGGUGAGUAAUGCCUGGGAAAUUGCCCGGUAGAGGGGGAUAACCAUUGGAAACGAUGGCUAAUACCGCAUAACCUCGCAAGAGCAAAGCAGGGGACCUUCGGGCCUUG
This 218-nucleotide ribosomal RNA is filed under the name Vibrio cholerae. RNAcentral describes it as "partial 16S ribosomal RNA". It matches the Rfam family "Bacterial small subunit ribosomal RNA", at positions 1 to 215 of the family's 1533-position model. Lineage: Bacteria; Pseudomonadati; Pseudomonadota; Gammaproteobacteria; Vibrionales; Vibrionaceae. The record is from RNAcentral.